Molecule: ribosomal RNA, 1110 nt
Filed under: Foraminifera environmental sample
Lineage: Eukaryota; Foraminifera
Description: SSU rRNA
Rfam family: Eukaryotic small subunit ribosomal RNA
Source: RNAcentral
AAGGGCACCACAAGAACGCGUGGAGCAUGUGGCUUAAUUUGACUCAACGCGGGAAAUCUUACCGGGUCCGGACACACUGAGGAUUGACAGGUGUUUCGUAAAGUCAAGCUUUUUAAUGAUAUUGUGCUUUCGAGUAUUUUAUCAUUUAGGAAGUUUUUCAUUUACAUUUCAAAUAUGCUAGUCCUUUCAUGAUUGUGUGAUAGGUGGUGCAUGGCCGUUCUUAGUUCGUGGAGUGAUCUGUCUGCUUAAUUGCGUUUCACUUAUGGCGUGUAGUAUGUUACUGCUAGUUCAAUUGUGACCUCAUUUUCUUUAUAAGAAUUUGACUGCGUCCGGUUCUGGUGUGCAUACCAUUGCCACGAAGGCAACGAACGUGACCGCAACCUCUUGUUGCCUCUCUUGUGCGCUAUGAAUUAAGUUAAAAAUUUUUUUUUUUUCUUUAAAUAUAGUCGCCACAGUUCAUAGUUUGCUUUUAUCUUCUUCUUUCUAACGAAGGCGGUUGUAUAUUAGUUUUAAGCUAUGUUAUUCUGCAGUAGAGGGAAACUAGAGGGACCGCUGACAUUUCUUAAACCAGAGGAAGGUUGCGGCAAUAACAGGUCUGUGAUGCCCUUAGAUGUUCCGGGCUGCACACGUGCUACAAUGAUUAUUGCAGUGAGCAUCUUACCCAGUUCGUGUGCACAGUUGCAGUAAUACCAACUAAACGGAUUCUUUGGAUUUCUUGAUUGAAUCUCUUUUUAAGAGAUUCUUUUGAGUUUUCUUUUGAAUUCGUGGUAUCUCUCUGAUGCAUUGUUCUUUUAUUAUUGCACUUUUUGUGUAUUUUAAUUGAAUUCAACGACUAGGCUACUUCGAAAGUAAGUAGCUAAUCAAUUCGAAGUAAUGAUUUCCAAUUCUAUAAAUAUAUAUAGCACAUUUUACAUGUCCUUAGUGUUUGCAUUUGCUUUGCCUUGUGUAAAGUUUAUGUCGCUAUUGUUUGACAUGUGCUCCGUUAAUUCGUGGUGGGGACAGACCAUUGUUAAUUGUUGGUCUCGUCUUAACUAGGAAUGCCUUGUACGGGUCUUUGGUUCAACAGACCACCCGGAAUAUGUCCCUGCCCUUUGUACACACCGCCCGUCA